Molecule: ribosomal RNA, 523 nt
Filed under: uncultured bacterium
Lineage: Bacteria
Description: partial 16S ribosomal RNA
Rfam family: Bacterial small subunit ribosomal RNA
Source: RNAcentral
GACGAACGCUGGCGGCGUGCCUAAUACAUGCAAGUCGAACGCUUUUUCUUUCACCGGAGCUUGCUCCACCGAAAGAAAAAGAGUGGCGAACGGGUGAGUGACACGUGGGUAACCUGCCCAUCAGAAGGGGAUAACACUUGGAAACAGGUGCUAAUACCGUAUAACACUAUUUUCCGCAUGGAAGAAAGUUGAAAGGCGCUUUUGCGGCACUGAUGGAUGGAACCGGGGUGCAUUAGCUAGUUGGUGAGGUAACGGCUCACCAGGGCAACGAUGCAUAGCCGAACUGAGAGGGUGAUCGGCCACACUGGGACUGAGACACGGCCCAGACUCCUACGGGAGGCAGCAGUAGGGAAUCUUCGGCAAUGGACGAAAGUCUGACCGAGCAACGCCGCGUGAGUGAAGAAGGUUUUCGGAUCGUAAAACUCUGUUGUUAGAGAAGAACAAGGAUGAGAGUAAAAUGUUCAUCCCUUGACGGUAUCUAACCAGAAAGCCACGGCUAACUACGUGCCAGCCGCCGCGGUAA